Molecule: ribosomal RNA, 497 nt
Filed under: uncultured bacterium
Lineage: Bacteria
Description: partial 16S ribosomal RNA
Rfam family: Bacterial small subunit ribosomal RNA
Source: RNAcentral
GACGAACGCUGGCGGCGUGCCUAAUACAUGCAAGUAGAACGCUGAAGAGAGGAGCUUGCUCUUCUUGGAUGAGUUGCGAACGGGUGAGUAACGCGUAGGUAACCUGCCUUGUAGCGGGGGAUAACUAUUGGAAACGAUAGCUAAUACCGCAUAACAAUGGAUGACCCAUGUCAUUUAUUUGAAAGGGGCAAAUGCUCCACUACAAGAUGGACCUGCGUUGUAUUAGCUAGUAGGUGAGGUAACGGCUCACCUAGGCGACGAUACAUAGCCGACCUGAGAGGGUGAUCGGCCACACUGGGACUGAGACACGGCCCAGACUCCUACGGGAGGCAGCAGUAGGGAAUCUUCGGCAAUGGGGGCAACCCUGACCGAGCAACGCCGCGUGAGUGAAGAAGGUUUUCGGAUCGUAAAGCUCUGUUGUAAGUCAAGAACGAGUGUGAGAGUGGAAAGUUCACACUGUGACGGUAGCUGACCAGAAAGGGACGGCUAACUACGUG